Molecule: ribosomal RNA, 605 nt
Filed under: Colletotrichum acutatum
Lineage: Eukaryota; Fungi; Ascomycota; Sordariomycetes; Glomerellales; Glomerellaceae
Description: eukaryotic LSU rRNA
Rfam family: 5.8S ribosomal RNA (bases 237-390)
Source: RNAcentral
GCUACGACUGACUGAAUUUCAUUGGAUGCUAGCGGACUAGCGGAGGGAUCAUUACUGAGUUACCGCUCUAUAACCCUUUGUGAACAUACCUAACCGUUGCUUCGGCGGGCAGGGGAAGCCUCUCGCGGGCCUCCCCUCCCGGCGCCGGCCCCCACCACCCCGACGGGGCGCCCGCCGGAGGAAACCAAACUCUAUUUACACGACGUCUCUUCUGAGUGGCACAAGCAAUAAUUAAAACAAAAUAACAACGGAUCUCUUGGUUCUGGCAUCGAUGAAGAACGCAGCGAAAUGCGAUAAGUAAUGUGAAUUGCAGAAUUCAGUGAAUCAUCGAAUCUUUGAACGCACAUUGCGCUCGCCAGCAUUCUGGCGAGCAUGCCUGUUCGAGCGUCAUUUCAACCCUCAAGCACCGCUUGGUUUUGGGGCCCCACGGCACACGUGGGCCCUUAAAGGUAGUGGCGGACCCUCCCGGAGCCUCCUUUGCGUAGUAACUAACGUCUCGCACUGGGAUUCGGAGGGACUCUUGCCGUAAAACCCCCAAAUUUUUUACAGGUUGACCUCGGGUACGACUUCAAGUCAUGCUAGCUAGCAGCUAGCGUACAGCUAGC